This 253-nucleotide ribosomal RNA is filed under the name uncultured bacterium. Its description in RNAcentral is "partial 16S ribosomal RNA". It matches the Rfam family "Bacterial small subunit ribosomal RNA", at positions 524 to 776 of the family's 1533-position model. The record is from RNAcentral.
UACGUAGGGGGCAAGCGUUGUCCGGAAUCAUUGGGCGUAAAGAGCGUGUAGGCGGUCCGGUCAGUCGGUUGUGAAAGUCAAGGGCUCAACCCUUGAAUGCCGGCCGAUACUGCCGGGCUAGAGUCCGGAAGAGGUGAGUGGAAUUCCUGGUGUAGCGGUGAAAUGCGCAGAUAUCAGGAGGAACACCGAUGGCGAAGGCGGAUCUCUGGGCCAUUACUGACGCUGAGGAGCGAAAGCGUGGGGAGCGAACAGG